GCCGAUUUAGCUCAGCUGGUAGAGCACCCGCCUUGUAAGCGGAAGGUCGUCAGUUCGAAACCGACAAUCGGCACCA
Molecule: transfer RNA, 76 nt
Filed under: Xylophilus sp.
Lineage: Bacteria; Pseudomonadati; Pseudomonadota; Betaproteobacteria; Burkholderiales
Description: tRNA-Thr
Rfam family: tRNA
About the family: Transfer RNA (tRNA) molecules are approximately 80 nucleotides in length. Their secondary structure includes four short double-helical elements and three loops (D, anti-codon, and T loops).
Source: RNAcentral